Long non-coding RNA from Cyanistes caeruleus (blue tit), 720 nucleotides. RefSeq lists it as uncharacterized. NCBI's taxonomy places the organism in Eukaryota, Metazoa, Chordata, Aves, Passeriformes, Paridae. The record is from RefSeq and is a predicted model, not a curated record.
GGAGCGUGAGGGGCUGCGGGGCCGCACAGCAUCCCCUCGGGCCCCUGAGCCCCGCCUGGGACCCCUCAGGCCUCUGGGACCCCUGAGCCCCGCCUGAGAUCCCUCAGGCCUCUGGGGCCCCUGAGCCCCGCCUGAGACCCCUCAGCCCCACGGUCCCCUGGAACUCCUCACCCUCAUGGACCCCUCACCGCUCUGGCCCUGCUGUUACCCACAAGAUCAGCCUCAUGGGAACACUGAAUGAGGCAGUUCCAGGUCCAUCACCGCUGAAAAAUGUCCAAGAGCCAACAGGCAUUGAACCCUUGGGCCAGAACUGCGGACUUCUGAGAACCUCAAUCAGAGCAGCUCUUGUAUUAUUUAUGCUGUGGUGGUGCUCUGAGACCCACUGGAGCCAAGAGAACUUCACACCAGACAUCUGCACAAAGCCAACAUCCGCCUGGCAAAACACCCAGAGAUGAGAGCCUUUUCUGCAGCUACAGCAGGAAGUUUUCGGACCAGGAUAAGUACCUUGCUGCUGGGGCCACUGGCCAUGAAGCUCUGAGCACUGAGAGGCUCUGCAGCUGCUCUGCCAGGCUCUGUGUGCCUGGGCUCCCACCAGCACUGCUCCAGCCAAAAACCAUUGGUUUUUUUCUCCCUCCUCCAAGAGGGGACUGGUAACAGGUUUCUGACACACUCACAAAGCAGUGCUGUGCUUGAGCAGGGUCUAACAAAAGGGUAAAAUGG